Molecule: ribosomal RNA, 657 nt
Filed under: uncultured bacterium
Lineage: Bacteria
Description: bacterial SSU rRNA
Rfam family: Bacterial small subunit ribosomal RNA
Source: RNAcentral
GACGAACGCUGGCGGCGUGCCUAACACAUGCAAGUCGAGCGGAGCGGCGGACGGGUGAGUAACGCGUGAGCAACCUGCCUUUCACAGGGGGAUAACGCAUCGAAAGGUGCACUAAUACCGCAUGGUGAGAGAUGGGCUCGCGUCUGAUUAGCUAGUUGGUGAGGUAACGGCCCACCAAGGCGACGAUCAGUAGCCGACCUGAGAGGGUGAUCGGCCACAUUGGAACUGAGAGACGGUCCAAACUCCUACGGGAGGCAGCAGUGGGGAAUAUUGGGCAAUGGGGGAAACCCUGACCCAGCAACGCCGCGUGAAGGAAGAAGGUUUUCGGAUCGUAAACUUCUAUCCUUGGUGAAAUGGUAGCCAAGAAGGAAGCCCCGGCUAACUACGUGCCAGCAGCCGCGGUAAUACGUAGGGGGCAAGCGUUGUCCGGAAUGAUUGGGCGUAAAGGGCGCGUAGGCGGCCUGGUAAGUUUGGAGUGAAAGUCCUUCUUUUAAGGAGGGAACUGCUUUGAAAACUGUCGGGCUUGAGUGCAGGAGAGGUAAGCGGAAUUCCCGGUGUAGCGGUGAAAUGCGUAGAGAUCGGGAGGAACACCAGUGGCGAAGGCGGCUUACUGGACUGUUACUGACGCUGAGGCGCGAAAGUGUGGGGAGCAAACAG